AAACCCAACUUUGGUAGGGUUAUUAACCUUUUUCUUAUGGUCAUGUAACACAACAUCUAAACCUAGCUACAAACUGCAAACCUUUCACUUCGCCGCCGCACCAAAUAGAAACAAUUCCUAUCUCUCAAUGUAGCCAUAAACUUCUUCAACAGACGUAUCCUUCAUCCUUUUGUCCCAUUUUAAUUUCUUCUUCGUCCAUUCAUCUAUCAUCGUACACUCCACUUUUUUUUUUUUUACCUAAUUUCUGUUGGUUACCAUCUUUCAAUCUCCUGUCCAAGCUUGUCAUGCGGUCUCCUCCACCUGUAUCCUUCACCCAACAAACAGGUGCACAGUUUAGCUGUAAAUUGUUGAAGAUCUCAUCUUAUGAGGAUCAUUGAAUAGAUUGUCUGUGUUUCUUUUUCCAUUGUCGUCGUCGGCCAUGUGCAUCAAUCUCUUCCCAAAGUGGAUCAUGCUGAUGAAUCUUUCAACAACCAUGAUUUCCUUGAUUAAUUAUAUAAUAAAGUCUCUGUCUUAAUGGUGACAUGACUUUAUUUUAUUUUAUAUUUUUUAUAUUAUAUUUAUCUUAAUUAGAAAAAAAAUUUGUAAAAAAAAUAUUUAUAAGAAUGAUGAAUGUAUAUUCAAAAAUUUAUUUUUAUGAUUUUUUUAUGAUUGAAGUAUAUGUUUUUGUGAAAAUUUUAUUUUCAUAAUUAAAAUUAUGUGCUUUUAUUAUUGUACAAACAUGGUAUCAUAAUGUAUACAAGAAUUUCUCUUAUACCUGUCUAUAAAAUUUGUAUGUAUAGAUCAAUGCAAUGCAUGUCAAGAAUUUAUUUUCAUGAUUUUUUAUGAUUGAAGUAUGUGUUUUAUACAAAUUUUAUUAGAUUUUAAUUAUAUGGAUUCAGGCGUGUGAAAAAUAUUAUAUUUGGGAUGUGGAUCAAAUUAAUGUUUUUUUAAAAAAUAAAAAACAGAUAUAAAAAAAGCAAAAAUGCUAAUUAGUAUUCUAAGAUCACUAAUUAGGGAAUAAAAAAAUGAAUUGAUUAUUUUUGGAAUUAAUUAGACUUAAUUGUAUAUUUUAUUUUAAUUUUUGGUGAAUUUUAUCUUAAUAUUUUUUAAUUGAUACAUUUUUUUCAACUUUUAAUAAAUUUGUAAAUUUUACCCCGAUUUUUUUCAUUAAUAAGUAUAAAAGUUGGGAUAAAAUUUGCAAAAAAUGAAAAAUUGAAUGUAAAAUUUGUCAAAAAAGUAAUAUAUUUGAGAUAAAAGUAUAAUUAUGUUAGGAAAAAAAUAAUAGAAAGUAAAACUUGUAAAUUUCUUAUAAAUUAGAGGUGAAGUACACUAGAUUAAUUUGUUGGGUUAAAUUUUUUUUAAAAUUAAAAAAUUGAGAGUAAAAAACAAUGAAGCCGAUUAAUUAAUAUGUUCAGGUAUAGGUAUUGUUAAUUGAUAGAAGGUAUUGUUAAUUUUUUAAACAUAUAUAAAUUUAAUAAGAAAAUAGACAAUUAUUAAGAGGCCAAGCUCUCUAAUUAGCCCACCGUAAACUCCAUUAUAAACAAUCCUACUUUAUAACAGAUGGCUUUUCUUUUUAGAUAAGCUUAUUAUUGAUGGCUUUUAUCUCACCAUAAAUUUAAAAUUGCGCUAUUUUUACUCACAGAUUAUUGAGGGCCUUUCCCUCAAUAUUAUUGUUGAGGUCAAAAUUAUCAAUGAAAAAGUCCAUUGUCAAUUGUAUAAAAAAAUUAAUACUUUCACCCACUUAUUACUGGUUAAUUGUAGAGCAUUUAGCGCACUAACCCGACCCGGUCGUACAAUAGUAAAAAAUAAAAAAUAUUAAUAUUAUUAAUAAUAAUAUAAUAAAAUUUAAAAAAUAAAAAUCUUAACUCUUUUUAUGCAACAAAUUUACAUACUCAAAUGUAAUUAUAUUGGACAUUUUAAAGAAAAUCAUUUUAAAAAAUCUGUUAUAAAAAUUUUAAUUUUUAAAUUUCAUAACUCAAUUAAGCUAACUCAAUCCAAUCGAUCGAAUUAGAUUAGGUUGAGUUUGGCAAUAAAAUUAUUAGAACCCGACUUAAUGUAAUUUGAUAUUUUUUAAUUAGACUGAGUCUGACAGCAAAAUUAUUAUAACCUGAUUUAAUUCAAUCUGAGAUUUUUUAAUUUGGUUGAAUUUGAUAGUAAAAUCACUAUACUUCGAUUGUUUUCGUGUGACUUUCAACAUUCAUGAUGAGAUCAUCUUUGUUUCAUGGUGGCUUCGAACAUUUCAUCCUUAAAGAUUCGUAAAUUUGUAUAGUACUCUACACGCGUUCUCUUGAGGCAAAAGCGUUUGUUAUUUUUCAUAUUACAUCUCUUAGCAGGUCCGAUGGUUAAUUCGAAAACUUCGAUGCAUUUGAAUUCUGAUUCCUUUUUUUAACUAUAAUAUGUGAAUCAGAGAAAGGACACAAUUCACGAAUCGGUGAAAGCUUCAGACCUACCAGUUAGUGUUUUUAUCCCAACUCGUGAAUUUAGUGCUAUAUUAAAGACCAAAAAGGGUAACAUACAUAUACAUAAUGAAAAUUUUCAAAUAAAAAAAAAGAUAUGAUCUCAUUUGUGUUUCAAUCAAGAAAAUGCCUAGUCAGAGUUGGGAAGGUAAACAACAAAUAAAGGUGAUAGAAUAAGAAAACUAAGGGCAAUGGCAUGCCACUGUACAAUACUCGAUGUCCAUGGUUCUUGCGUUUAAGUUGAAUUUGACACAUUCGCAAAUGUGCAUUGUAUGCAUAGGGAGGGAUGUUAGUUUUUAACAUUUUCUCUUUGUUAUCAGCCUUUUUCUAAUCCCAUAUAUGCAGAUGGUGAAUCCACAACGACAACAAACAUCAGGACUACUUCCGGAUUCUCGCGCUGGAAGGACAAUAAACAAUUUGGAGAUCCAAAAUGGCUAGAAAGGAUCGAACAUUUCAGAUUGAGCAAUCCAAAAUAAGACCUUUCCAGGGACCCU
RNAcentral lists this long non-coding RNA (2929 nucleotides) under Glycine max (soybean). Its description in RNAcentral is "long non-coding RNA (GMAX_LNC001740)". Lineage: Eukaryota; Viridiplantae; Streptophyta; Magnoliopsida; Fabales; Fabaceae. The record is from RNAcentral.